This 492-nucleotide ribosomal RNA is filed under the name uncultured bacterium. RNAcentral describes it as "partial 16S ribosomal RNA". It matches the Rfam family "Bacterial small subunit ribosomal RNA", at positions 29 to 507 of the family's 1533-position model. The record is from RNAcentral.
AGUGAACGCUGGCGGUAGGCCUAACACAUGCAAGUCGAACGGCAGCACAGUAAGAGCUUGCUCUUACGGGUGGCGAGUGGCGGACGGGUGAGGAAUACAUCGGAAUCUACUUUUUCGUGGGGGAUAACGUAGGGAAACUUACGCUAAUACCGCAUACGACCUACGGGUGAAAGCAGGGGAUCUUCGGACCUUGCGCGAUUGAAUGAGCCGAUGUCGGAUUAGCUAGUUGGCGGGGUAAAGGCCCACCAAGGCGACGAUCCGUAGCCGGUCUGAGAGGAUGAUCAGCCACACUGGAACUGAGACACGGUCCAGACUCCUACGAGAGGCAGCAGUGGGGAAUAUUGGACAAUGGGCGCAAGCCUGAUCCAGCCAUACCGCGUGGGUGAAGAAGGCCUUCGGGUUGUAAAGCCCUUUUGUUGGGAAAGAAAAGCAGCAGGUUAAUACCCCGCUGUUCUGACGGUACCCAAAGAAUAAGCACCGGCUAACUUCGUG